GACGAACGCUGGCGGCGUGCUUAACACAUGCAAGUCGAACGGAAAGGCCCUGCUUUUGUGGGGUGCUCGAGUGGCGAACGGGUGAGUAACACGUGAGUAACCUGCCCUUGACUUUGGGAUAACUUCAGGAAACUGGGGCUAAUACCGGAUAGGAGCUCCUGCUGCAUGGUGGGGGUUGGAAAGUUUCGGCGGUUGGGGAUGGACUCGCGGCUUAUCAGCUUGUUGGUGGGGUAGUGGCUUACCAAGGCUUUGACGGGUAGCCGGCCUGAGAGGGUGACCGGCGACAUUGGGACUAAGGGACGGACCAGACUCGUACGGGAGGCAGCGGUGGGAAGUAUUGCACAGUGGGCGGAAGCGUGAUGCAGCGACGCCGCGUGCGGGAUGACGGCCUUCGGGGUGUAAACCGCUUUCGCCUGUGACGAAGCGUGAGUGACGGUAAUGGGUAAAGAAGCACCGGCUAACUACGUG
This 468-nucleotide ribosomal RNA is filed under the name uncultured bacterium. RNAcentral's name for it is "partial 16S ribosomal RNA". It matches the Rfam family "Bacterial small subunit ribosomal RNA", at positions 28 to 507 of the family's 1533-position model. The record is from RNAcentral.